UACAGAGGGGGCAAGCGUUGUUCGGAAUUACUGGGCGUAAAGGGCGCGUAGGCGGCCGCCUAAGUCAGACGUGAAAUCCCUCGGCUCAACCGGGGAACUGCGUCUGAUACUGGGUGGCUUGAGUGCAGGAGAGGAAUGCGGAAUUCCAGGUGUAGCGGUGAAAUGCGUAGAUAUCUGGAGGAACACCGGUGGCGAAGGCGGCAUUCUGGACUGUAACUGACACUGAGGAACGAAAGCCAGGGGAGCAAACGGG
Molecule: ribosomal RNA, 253 nt
Filed under: uncultured bacterium
Lineage: Bacteria
Description: partial 16S ribosomal RNA
Rfam family: Bacterial small subunit ribosomal RNA
Source: RNAcentral